CAUUCACAGCUUCUUGCAAGUGCAAGAAUGUGGUGCUGGUGCUCUGGCAGCCAUCUUGAGACUAUGAGGUGCAACUUACCAUUGGGUAAAUCCUUGACAACGACAUCACCAAGCCACCAGACCAACACCCAGACCAGACCACCUACUCCAGACUUGUUAAAUUAGUCUGCAGGAAUUUUUCAAGAUGGCAGAUGAGAGGAUAUCGCUUUCCUGGCUGUUCUGUAGAGUGAAACCAAGAAAACAGGCAGUUUCUCAGAAAGGUGAGUAACCAAAAGGGGUAGGCGGGUGGACUUUACUGGAACUUAAAACUGUGCAUUCAAAACAGAUCAGGGACUCAGGAGGCUGGGUAUAAUAAAAUAAGGAAGAAAUCCCCAGCAACACAACCACUGUCAUGGUUGGUCCAAAAGCACCAACCAAAGUGGUCCUUCAAGAGCAAAGUGAAGGAUAAGGGAAUUAAAAGAACCCCCAUUUUUAGGAGACUUGAGGCAUAUUGGGUACAGAACAUUUAGAGAUCAAGGACACUGAGUGAUUAAACUGCACAAUAUCUUUGUGAGGGAAAGAAGCCACCACCUCUCCAGGUAGUGUGUGGAGGACGAGAGAUGGAACUGUUUUGCAGUCAUGGCUUGGGGGUCGGCACCUGAGGGAGACAAUUCCUGGAAAACCUGAGUUUGGCCCAAAAUAUAGGCUCAGUAAAUACACACUGCACCCCAUAAAGUGUGCUUAAGUGACCAGGAGAAAAUUGAACAUGGAGAGAGGUCUACAGAGGGGACAACUGGUUGUGGAAACCCACCACCCCUACCCCUCCCACUCAGCUAUCUGCAGGACUGGCUAGGAGAGAUGCAUCUGGCCGAGAACUUGGAAUGGCGGAGAUGGGAGAGAUUGUUUGGAGACUGAACCCAAGAUCAGGAAACGUGGGGUCUGCAGGUGAUGUAAGGGACUAAGAAUUGGCUCCAGCACCACAAGAGUGGAACCCAGGGGAGAUCCCUGGGGCACAGUCUUCCGACGUGGAUCAGCAAUUACUGGGUGCUGGGGGUGCACUGAUUUAAAAUCUCCAGACCAAUUGGCAUUCAGCAAAGAGCCUGGAGCCCACCUAAGCCUAAAACUGCUUCCAGGAAUUCCUCCUACAGGAUUGCCUCUCUCACUCCAGCAAUCCAGAGGGAGGAGCAUCACACUCCACCGGCCUCAUCUAAACUGCUGAGAAGAGACGCUGAGAAUAUUUUGAACUCCAACUAAAAGAAUUCUUUAACUUUUCAUUGAGAUUUUUUUCUCCUUUCUUUUUUUCUUUUUUCUUCUUUCUUUUUGUGUUUAAUUGUGACCUUAACAGUACAUGGACAUUUAUACAUACUCAUACUUGUUUUUUUUUUCCUCAUGUCUAGCUAUUAUAAAGCCAGUUAUUUUUCAUGGAUCAGUUUUUUGAGGAUUUGGAUGUUUGAUUAGUACAUUGUAGUUUUCUUUUGUAUUACUUUAUUUUUAUUCUUUUUUAAAUUUUUACUUCUAUAUAUUUUUCUCUUACCUGUUUCCCUUCAUUCUCUUUCUCUCUUUUCUUUCUCUCUCUUUCACCCUUCCUUUAAUUUCUUACUUCUAUCUUCUCUCCUCCUCCCUCAUAAUUAUCACAUCCUAUGUCAUUUCUGUUCCCUCCCUGUCCACCAUUUGAAAUGGUAAACCGUUUUGCAAACUUGCUGUUUUUAGUGUAGGAAAUAACUAAUCAUAUCGUUUCUGUUUAUUGUGAUAAUUAACAUUGAAGACAUCAUAGUCAGAACUAUCUGGUUUAUUGUUAUAUAUUGUUUGCAUUAGCUGUUACUAUUUGUCUCCCCCUAAAUUGUGAGGUACUGGAAACCUUCAGGGACACUGUGAGUCCACAGAGUAGAAACUCUGCUACGUCAAAUUCAUACUGAUAGAUGGGUAAACAAACAAAUAACAUGAAAAACCAAGGGAACAAAUCACCCCAACAAACCAAAAUACUCCAAUAAAGGAUCUAAUGACACCACAGUGGAAGAGAAGGAAUUUAGAAUGUACAUGGUCAAACUGAUCUGCAAAGUAAAGGAUGAUGUAAGGAGUGAAAUCAGAAAGAAAAUACAGGAAGUGAAAGAUCACUUCAAUAAAGAGAUAGAGAUUCUGAAAAAAGUCAAGCAGAAAUCCUCAAAAUGAAGGAAUCAAUAAACCAAAUUAUGAAUUUAAUGGAAAGCAUCACCAGCAGAUUAGAUCACUUGGAAAACAGAGUUUCAGGCAAUGAAGACAAAAUAUGUAAUCCUGAAAACAAAUUUGACCGUGGAGAAAAGAUGUUAAGAGACCAUGAACAGAACUUCAGAAAUAUAGGACAACCUGAAAAGACCAAAUUUAAGAUUUAUGGAGAUAGAUGAAGGCUCAGAGAUACAAACCAAAGGAAUUCAUAAUCUUUCCAAUGAAAUAAUAUCCGAAAAUGUCCAAAACAUUAAGAAUGAAAUGAAACAUCAAAUACAGGAGGCUUACAAGAUCCCAAAUAUGCAAAAUUACAACAGACCCACAUCAAGGCACAUUAUUUUGAAAAUGCCUAACAUACAGAAUAAGUAUAGAAUUUUAAAGGCUGCCAGAGGAAAAUGGCAGUUAACAUUUAGAGGAAAACAAUCUGGAUCUCAGCUGAUUUUUCAACCCAGACCCUCAGAGCUAGAAGGUCUUAGAUAAUAUACCAAGCUCCGAAAGAAAAUGGAUGCAGGCUGAGAAUACUAUACCCAGCAAAAUUAAGUCUCAGAAUUGACGAUGAAAUAAAAAUCUUCCAUGAUAAAUAAAAGUUAAAAAAAUUCACAACUAGAAAGCCUGAACUAUAGAACAUUCUCAAUAAAAUAUUUUAUGAAGAAGAAGUGAAAACCAGCAAAUGGAGGAGCUAUAUUAGACUAGUCAAUCAAACAAGAAACUAAUUCAAAGUAAAAAAAAAAACAGAAAUAAAUCAAAAUAGAAGGGAAUAGAAAUCAUUUCUCAAUAUAACACUGAAUGUAAAAGGCCUAAACCCAUGAAUCAAAAGACAUAGAUUGGAUUGAGAAAAUAAGACCCAACAAUAUGCUGUCCUCAAGAGACUCACCUCAUAGGCAAAGACAUCCACAGACUGAAGGUAAAAGGAUGGGGAAAAAACAUAUCAUUCACAAGUAUUUAGUAAACAAGCAGGGGUUUCUAUCCUCAUAUCAGAUAAAGUGGACUUCAAGACAAAGUUAAUCAGAAGGGGCAGAAGGACAUUUCAUACUGCUUAAGGGAAUCAUACAACAACAAGACAUAACAAUGUAAAUAUUUAUGCCUCAAACAAUGGAGCAUCUGCGUACAAAACAAACCCUUCCCGGUUUCAAGAGUCAAAUAGACCACAACACAACAAUACUGGGUGACUUUAACAUGCCUCCGUCACUACUGAACAGAUCCUCCAAACAAAAACUAAAUAAAGGAGUUACAGAGAGGCUGGGAUUGUAGCUCAGUAGAAGAGUGCUUGCCUAGCACAUGUGAGGCACCAGGUUUGAUCCUCGGCACCACAUAAAAGUAAAUAAAAGAAAGGCAUUGUGUUUAUCUACAACUAAAAUAAAUUUUUUUAAAGAAGCUAUAAAACUAAAAAAAUACAAUUAAUAAUUUAGAGUUUACAGAAAUAUAUAGAAUAUUUCAUCCAUCAAUGACCACAUACACUUUCUUUGCAGCAGCACACAGAUCUUUCUCUAAUAUAGACCAUGUUAUGUAAGCUAUCACAUAUGUUGGCAUUCAAUUGUCAUAUUACCUUAAUUUAUUUUUAGCAUCUGUGCGGUUAUUUUGUUAGCUCCCUUUCCACUGAUAUUUAAUUUUUGUGUUCUUGCUUUUUUCUUGAUUAGACUUGAUUUUUAUCAGCUGUUAGCUGUAUUAUUUCUCCUCUCUGUCUCCUAUUUCUGCCUAAUUGGAAAAUAAUCUGAUUGUGAAUCUAGCUUCUUUCUGAUAAAAGUACUUUAAGUUAUAAAUGUUCAUCUGAGUACUGUUUCAUCCCAAAUUCUGAUAUUUUAAGCUUUUGAUUGUCACUUAGUUCAAAGCACUUUUUAUUUACUUUUCUUGUGCUUUCUUCCUCGACCCAUGAGAUAGUUAUGUGUGUGCCAUUUAAUUUUGAAAUGGUUGACAUGUGGAGGUGGGGUUCUAUAUACCAUAAGGGAUUGAAUUCUAAUAUAAUAAACAUACAGGAAACACAGCCUGCAUGAUUUCAAUUUUUUUUUAAAAAUGAUGGAAAUGCUUUUUAUAUUGAUUGUAUUGAUUGCACACAUGUCAAAACUCAUCAGAUUGCAUUCCUCAAAUAUGUGCACUUUACUGUACUUCAAUUUUACCUCAAUAAAGCCAUGGGAGGAAAGGUUAAAACAAUCUGCAGUUCCCAGAUUGUAAGUUCCCAGGGAGUCACAGUGAGUUCACAAGGGGUUAUGGGUAUUUUAAAUUUCAAAGGAAACAAAGUGAUGCUCAAUAUCUGAAGCUACUCGGCCAAGAUAGAUGGCAGUUUUAAUCUCAGAUGCUGCUACAUUCCUUUCAAUGACGUAACAUCUUUGUGAAGCAGUUUGUACAGCAGAUGCCAUGAUAAAAUCCAAGUGUCCCAUGAAAGUCAAUGUGAAAGAAGAAAUGAGUCCAGCAGUGUCCACCUGUCCAAUCUGAUUCCAAGGUCUGAGAAUUGUGCCACGCCCCAAAGGCACAUGCAUCCACGGCAACUAAUCCCAAUACUUAAAAAAGUUAUUUAGGAACUUAAAUAACAUGUUAUUUAAUCACAGCUACUUAAGAGGAAAAUAAGAAAUAUGUGGUUUUCUUCAACGUAUGUGUAUUACUAGGUAUUGCAUAUUAUCUUCAGUGUAUAUUAUUAUAUGUACAUACAAUGCAUGAAUCAUUUUUUCAGUGUAUGUGUAUUGUUUUUUUGAAUAUACAUUUUUUUUCAAGUGACUGCUAAGUUUUUAGCACAUCAAUAUUUACUAAGUUUUUUGACUUCACCGCUUAAUAAACAAAAACUGCUAGGUAACUUUUUGGCCCAGGCACAGAGUGAACCAAGAAAAUUUGGGAGCCUGUGAAGUAAACACUGUGUGUCUUGCUAUUCCAGGUAUUUCCAGGAAAGACAUUUCUGGCUUCUUUAUCAUUUCAGUUCAAUAACCUUUUCUGGAAACUGGCCACCAUUUACAAUGCAGGUGCCUGGUGACUCAGCCUGCAGACAAGCACAGAAACUGAAAGCGAGCAUUUCUUUCUCUCCUAAAACUGGCUGUAGGUACACCUGCUUCUGAAAGUGACUCUGUAGAAAUGGCUCUGGGUUGUUUUCAGUGUGUGAGCACCCUGGAGCCUGGACAACUUGGCUGCUGGCAAUGAGCCUGGUUCUCACCUUUCCUCUGCUCGCAGUGCAGGGCUCCUUUGAACCCGAGCAAUCUCCUGCUGCCCAGAAGCACCUGAGCCUUCUCUGCUCGCCUGCAGCACCAAAUUCAAAGUGUCUUUCACACCAGUAACCAGACACGUUGGCUGGGUCAGAGCUCUUCACAGCUGGGAAGCUGUUGAACAGAGGAAGCCGUCUCAGCAAGGCGCCAUCUGCAUGCGUUGAACAGUAAAAAAUGGCUUCCGUUUGCUGAGGACCUAUUGGGAGCUUGGCACUAGGAAUGUAUUUUAUACGAAUAGUCAGAAUGUUCCCACACCUCAUUUUUCUUUCUCGUUUAUCCUUUUCCUUACUACCUAAAUUAAAUAACUUCUAUAAAAUAAGAAAUUGAAGGCUGGGGUGCAGGUCAGUGGUAGAGCACUUGCCUAGCAUAUGUGAAGCCCUGGGUUCCAUCCCCAGCAAUGAGGAUUAAGCAUCUUUUCAUAAAAGAUGAAAAAAAAAGAUGCUUAAUCUCUUCAAUAGUUGGGAGGGGUGAAUUAAGACCAAAAAAAAAAAAAAUAAAGCAACAUUUUCACUAACAAAUCCACAGAAAAAAUUUUAAAGCAACUAACAUUCAAUACUGAUGAAGAUAGGAGACAUAGGCUAACUCAGACACUGCUGGCAGAAGGGCAAUGGUUAUAAUAUUUCAUAGCCCAGUCUUGCAAUAUUUACUAAAUAUUUGAAUAACACAUCCCUAGAUCCAGCAAGCUUCCAGUUAGGAAAUCUGUCCUAUUAGAGGUAUGUGUAGGGACUUCAGUUUAAUUGUUAGGAAAUCUAUCCUAUUAAGAGGUAUGUGUAGGGACUUCAGUUUAAUUAUUUAUUAUGGAAAACAUUGAGGACAAUCUGAAUGGUCCUGAUUUAAAAACAGCAGUUGAAUAAAAUGUGGUCUAUUCCAGCACCCUCUACAUCCCAUAGUUUUAUUCACUAUCUGUCUUUGGGCAGUCCAUUUCUUUCAUCCAAACUGUUCCCUGAUUCUGGCAAAUUCUACACAUCCUUCAGGUCUCAACUAAGAUAUGAUCAUUUUUUAACAGCUCGAUUGAGGAAUGAUUGACAGAUGACAUAGAAGAUUACAACGUCUUUACAGGGACCAAGAAAGAAGCAUCGUGGGAAAUGGAAAUCCGUGUGCAGGUUGAAGUGAUGAACCUUAUAAACACAGAGCACAAGAAGGCAGACACAAGAAAACACACCGGGGACCACCAAGUUCAAAACCAAGCGAAGCACCAUCCUACCAGCUUUGGGGUACUUCUGGGGCCAGGCACAUGGAGACUUUUGGGGUGCUGUCCUCUGCAUCUCAUGGAGGUGGGUGCUGGCUGCAGGAGAGGGAUCACCUUGCAAUAAUGCAAUAAGCUGCUAC
This 6695-nucleotide long non-coding RNA is filed under the name Marmota monax (woodchuck). The record is from RNAcentral. Lineage: Eukaryota; Metazoa; Chordata; Mammalia; Rodentia; Sciuridae.